GACGGGAGAGUUAUGCGAGGGUAACUUGCCUCAUACAGGGGGAUAACAGUUGGAAACGACUGCUAAUACCGCAUAAGCGCACAGGGUCGCAUGACCUGGUGUGAAAAACUCCGGUGGUAUGAGAUGGACCCGCGUCUGAUUAGCCAGUUGGUGGGGUAACGGCCUACCAAAGCGACGAUCAGUAGCCGACCUGAGAGGGUGACCGGCCACAUUGGGACUGAGACACGGCCCAAACUCCUACGGGAGGCAGCAGUGGGGAAUAUUCCACAAUGGGGGAAACCCUGAUGCAGCGACGCCGCGUGAGCGAAGAAGUAUUUCGGUAUGUAAAGCUCUAUCAGCAGGGAAGAAGAAAUGACGGUACCUGACUAAGAAGCACCGGCUAAAUACGUGCCAGCAGCCGCGGUAAUACGUAUGGUGCAAGCGUUAUCCGGAUUUACUGGGUGUAAAGGGAGCGCAGGCGGUACGGCAAGUCUGAUGUGAAAGCCCGGGGCUCAACCCCGGUACUGCAUUGGAAACUGUCGGACUAGAGUGUCGGAGGGGUAAGUGGAAUUCCUAGUGUAGCGGUGAAAUGCGUAGAUAUUAGGAGGAACACCAGUGGCGAAGGCGGCUUACUGGACGAUUACUGACGCUGAGGCUCGAAAGCGUGGGGAGCAAACAGGAUUAGAUACCCCGGUAGUCCACUCCGUAAACGAGGAAUAUUACAUUCAGGAAACACAUA
This 718-nucleotide ribosomal RNA is filed under the name uncultured bacterium. RNAcentral describes it as "bacterial SSU rRNA". It matches the Rfam family "Bacterial small subunit ribosomal RNA", at positions 100 to 835 of the family's 1533-position model. The record is from RNAcentral. RNAcentral also lists the same sequence under 1 other name.